UUGGCUUAGUUAGAUUGGAUCUAUAUACAUGCUUAGGAUCGUAUAGCGUUUAUCCAUCAGAUCCAUGGGUAAAUGAUAGAUAUUGUGUAGGUGUGGUGCUUAUACCGUAUUUAUCUGCGAUUGUACCCAAUAUGCCAGAUCGUGGGGUGGUUCGUGAUAGUGACAGCUUCAUUGAUUCUUAUAUAGUCCCCCUCUCGUGUAUUAGGC
RNAcentral lists this long non-coding RNA (207 nucleotides) under Sorghum bicolor (sorghum). RNAcentral's name for it is "long non-coding RNA (SBIC_LNC010109)". Lineage: Eukaryota; Viridiplantae; Streptophyta; Magnoliopsida; Poales; Poaceae. The record is from RNAcentral.